This 1360-nucleotide ribosomal RNA is filed under the name Gastroptychus rogeri. RNAcentral's name for it is "16S ribosomal RNA". The record is from RNAcentral. Lineage: Eukaryota; Metazoa; Arthropoda; Malacostraca; Decapoda; Chirostylidae.
UAAUUAUUACUAAUAUUUUUAUAAAAAUUAAAUAUAAUAAAAAAAAUAAUUUUUAAUUUUAUUAAUUAGUAAAUAUUAUUAAAAUAAAUAAAUUAGGUGAUAGAAAAAUAGUAUUGUAAAAGAAAUUUUUUAAAUAAAUAUCUUAUCGAAAAGAAAAUAUUUAAAAUUGUAUCUUGUGUAUCAUAGGUGAUUAAAAUUAUAUUUAAAUAAAUUAAUCUCGAAAAAAAAAGAGCUAAGUUAUUAUCAAAGUUUUUAUUACAAUAAAAUUUAAAAUAAAUAACUUAGAAGUGAGAAAUUAUUCGGGUUUUUAUAUCUAGUUUUUAAUAAAAUGAAUUCAAUUCAUUUUAUAUUUAAAAUUAAAUAUAAAAUAAGAAAAUAAAAGUAAAACUUUAUUUUCAAAAAAUUCUAAAAUAAGAAGUUAAUAUAAAUAUUAAAUAAAAUUAGAUUUUAUAGUAAUCAUAUUUAUAUUGUUUUAUAACUAAUAAUAUUAACUAAAAAAAAUUUAUUUAACUUCUAUUUAUACUAAUUAAAAUUAAUUUAAAACAUAAAUAAAUUAGUUAUAAUAAUCUCAUUAGUAUAUAUAUUAUUAUAAUUUAUAAUUUAAAUAAAAAUUUAAACUUAUAAUAUUUAUUGAUUUAUAAAAGUAAUUCGGCAAAUAAAAUUUCCGCCUGUUUAACAAAAACAUGUCUAUAUGAAGUUAUAUAAAGUCUAACCUGCCCACUGAAUAUUAAAGGGCCGCAGUAUUUUGACUGUGCAAAGGUAGCAUAAUCAUUUGUUUUUUAAUUGAAAACUUGUAUGAAUGGUUGAACGAGAAAUAAACUGUCUCUUAUUAAAAAAUUGAAUUUUACUUUUAAGUGAAAAGGCUUAAAUAAUUUUAAGGGACGAUAAGACCCUAUAAAUCUUUAUAUAAUUUUUUAUAUAUUUAUAUUUAUAUAUCUAUUAAAAUAAAUAAAAUAUUAUAUUAUAUUGGGGUGAUAAAAAUAUAUAAUUAACUAUUUUAAUUUUAAAACAAUUAUUUUUGAUUUUUAUUUAAGAUCCUUUAUUAAGAUUAAAAGACAAAGUUACUUUAGGGAUAACAGCGUAAUUUUUUUUAAAAGUCCUUAUUAUAACAAAAUAUUAUUUUAAUUUAAAGGUAUUUCCAAAUUGUUUUCUAAGAAAUUUAUUACUUUAUUAAAAAUAUAAAGUAAACACACCAAUAUAAAGUCGAUAUAAAAUAUAAUUUAAACUUGAAAGUUGCUAAUUAGAUGUUUAGUUGUGGGUUGUUCCGAAAAUUUAUUACUUUAUUGGGGAUGUAAAGUAAAUAUGUAAAUAUAAAGUAGACACAAAAUAUUAUUUUAAUUUAAAGGUAUUUCCAAAUUGU